AUACGUAGGGGGCGAGCGUUGUCCGGAAUGAUUGGGCGUAAAGGGCGCGUAGGCGGCCCGGUAAGUCUGGAGUGAAAGUCCUGUUUUUAAGAUGGGAAUUGCUUUGGAUACUGUCGGGCCUGAGUGCAGGAGAGGUAAGUGGAAUUCCCAGUGUAGCGGUGAAAUGCGUAGAGAUUGGGAGGAACACCAGUGGCGAAGGCGACUUACUGGACUGUAACUGACGCUGAGGCGCGAAAGUGUGGGGAGCAAACAGGAUUAGAUACCCUGGUAGUCCACACUGUAAACGAUGAAUGCUAGGUGUAGGGGGUAUCGACCCCUUCUGUGCCGCAGUCAACACAAUAAGCAUUCCGCCUGGGGAGUACGGCCGCAAGGUUGAAACUCAAAUGAAUUGGCGGGG
RNAcentral lists this ribosomal RNA (397 nucleotides) under uncultured bacterium. RNAcentral's name for it is "partial 16S ribosomal RNA". It matches the Rfam family "Bacterial small subunit ribosomal RNA", at positions 523 to 918 of the family's 1533-position model. The record is from RNAcentral.